ACUCGAGCUGAUCGUAUAAGCC
This 22-nucleotide microRNA is filed under the name Daphnia pulex (common water flea). RNAcentral's name for it is "Dpu-Mir-375_5p* (star (passenger))". Lineage: Eukaryota; Metazoa; Arthropoda; Branchiopoda; Diplostraca; Daphniidae. The record is from RNAcentral. RNAcentral also lists the same sequence under 1 other name.